AUCUUGUCUUUUUUCCCUUGUGGUGUUGACCAUUAAGUGUCGUCGUUAUGAGGAUCCAUACGAUCUAGGAACGAAGACUCGUUGCAUCAAUCUCCUUCAAAGUCUUAAUUUAUAUUUGUUUUUAUGCACUUGUAUGAUUCUUUUCUUCUUUUUCUGUUUAUGAUUAUACGUUUGUAUUUAAGAUUUGUAUUUCAUAUAUGUAAG
Molecule: long non-coding RNA, 204 nt
Organism: Arabidopsis thaliana (thale cress)
Lineage: Eukaryota; Viridiplantae; Streptophyta; Magnoliopsida; Brassicales; Brassicaceae
Product: other RNA
Exons: 1
Source: RefSeq